This 218-nucleotide long non-coding RNA is filed under the name Phoenix dactylifera (date palm). Its description in RNAcentral is "long non-coding RNA (PDAC_LNC008771)". The record is from RNAcentral. Lineage: Eukaryota; Viridiplantae; Streptophyta; Magnoliopsida; Arecales; Arecaceae.
UGAAGAAGGAAUAAUUGCAAUUUGAUUGUAAUUUAAUUUAAUUAAUUGGAUUUAAUUAAUUGGACUUGAUCAUAUUAGACACGAGUCCUACUUGGAGUAGGAUUCUAAGAAUCCUAAUUAGAUUAGGAUUUCAAAUUAAAUUAGAGUCCUACUAGGAGUAGGAUUUCUAGAGUCCUAAUUAGAUUAGGACUGAAAUUUAAUAUGUCCUAAUUAGAUUA